UUCUUAUCGAGAGCGACUGAGGGACUGGCCCUGUGACGUCGCGGCAACCAGCCUUCGGGCAAGGUGCCAAAUCCAGCGAGACCUUUACAAGGUUUCGGGAGAUAAGGA
Molecule: non-coding RNA, 108 nt
Filed under: Geobacteraceae bacterium
Lineage: Bacteria; Pseudomonadati; Thermodesulfobacteriota; Desulfuromonadia; Geobacterales; Geobacteraceae
Description: SAM-I sequence
Rfam family: SAM riboswitch aptamer (S box leader)
About the family: The SAM riboswitch is found upstream of a number of genes which code for proteins involved in methionine or cysteine biosynthesis in Gram-positive bacteria. The SAM riboswitch acts at the level of transcription termination control.
Source: RNAcentral